GCGCCCGUAGCUCAGCGGAUUAGAGCGCUGCCCUGCGGAGGCAGAGGUCGCAGGUUCAAGUCCUGCCGGGCGCGCCA
This 77-nucleotide transfer RNA is filed under the name Chloroflexota bacterium. Its description in RNAcentral is "Chloroflexi bacterium tRNA-Arg". It matches the Rfam family "tRNA". From Rfam's summary of the family: Transfer RNA (tRNA) molecules are approximately 80 nucleotides in length. Lineage: Bacteria; Bacillati; Chloroflexota. The record is from RNAcentral.